UUGUGCAAAGGUAGCAUAAUCAUUAGUCUCUUAAUUGGUGACUUGUAUGAAGGAUUGGAUGAGAUAUAAACUGUCUCAAAAAUAAUUAAUUGAAUUUAAUUUUUUAAUUAAAAAGUUAAAAUAUGUUAGAAAGACGAGAAGACCCUAUAGAGUUUUAUAUUAAAUAAUAUUUAAAUUAUUUAUAAAUUUCAUUAAUUAUAAAUUUUAUUUAAUAUUUUGUUGGGGUGAUAGAAAAAUAAAAAAAACUUUUUUUAAAAAUAGUCAUUAAUAAGUGAAUAAUUGAUCCAAUUUUAUUGAUUAUAAGAAAAAAUUACCUUAGGGAUAACAGCGUAAUUUUUUUUUUUAGUUCUUAUAAGAAGAAAAGUUUGCGACCUCGAUGUUGGAUCAGGACA
This 392-nucleotide ribosomal RNA is filed under the name Antheraea assamensis (Indian muga silkmoth). RNAcentral describes it as "partial 16S ribosomal RNA". Lineage: Eukaryota; Metazoa; Arthropoda; Insecta; Lepidoptera; Saturniidae. The record is from RNAcentral.